CCUACGGGUGGCAGCAGUAGGGAAUAUUGCUCAAUGGGGGAAACCCUGAAGCAGCAACGCCGCGUGAGGGAUGAAGGUCUUCGGGUCGUAAACCUCUGUCAGCAGGGAAGAACGGUCACUGUGCUAAUCAGCAGUGAAUUGACGGUACCUGCAAAGGAAGCACCGGCUAACUCCGUGCCAGCAGCCGCGGUAAUACGGAGGGUGCGAGCGUUAAUCGGAAUUACUGGGCGUAAAGCGCUCGUAGGCGGUAUGUCAAGUCAAGGGUGAAAUCCCCGCGCUCAACGUGGGAACUGCCUUUGAAACUGGCAAACUGGAGUGUGUGAGAGGAUAGUGGAAUUCCAGGGGUAGGAGUGAAAUCCGUAGAUAUCUGGAGGAACAUCAGUGGCGAAGGCGACUAUCUGGCACAUAACUGACGCUGAGGAGCGAAAGCGUGGGUAGCAAACAGGAUUAGAUACCCCAGUAGUC
RNAcentral lists this ribosomal RNA (465 nucleotides) under uncultured bacterium. RNAcentral describes it as "partial 16S ribosomal RNA". It matches the Rfam family "Bacterial small subunit ribosomal RNA", at positions 338 to 795 of the family's 1533-position model. The record is from RNAcentral.